This 251-nucleotide ribosomal RNA is filed under the name uncultured prokaryote. RNAcentral describes it as "partial 16S rRNA". It matches the Rfam family "Bacterial small subunit ribosomal RNA", at positions 525 to 775 of the family's 1533-position model. The record is from RNAcentral.
ACAGAGGGUGCGAGCGUUAUUCGGAAUCACUGGGCGUAAAGAGUUCGUAGGCUGUUCGUUAAGUCUAGUGUGAAAUCCCUGGGCUCAAUCCAGGAAGUGCAUUAGAUACUGGCGGGCUGGAGUGUAGGAGAGGUGAGCGGAAUUCCUGGUGUAGAGGUGAAAUUCGUAGAUAUCAGGAGGAACAACAGUGGCGAAGGCGGCUCACUAGACUACUACUGACGCUGAGGAACGAAAGCGUGGGGAGCAAACAG